UACGUAGGGGGUAAGCGUUGUCCGGAAUGAUUGGGCGUAAAGGGCGCGUAGGCGGCCUUAUAAGUCUGGAGUGAAAGUCCCUUCUUCAAGGAGGGAAUUGCUUUGGAUACUGUAGGGCUUGAGUGCAGGAGAGGUCAGUGGAAUUCCCAGUGUAGCGGUGAAAUGCGUAGAGAUUGGGAGGAACACCAGUGGCGAAGGCGACUGACUGGACUGUAACUGACGCUGAGGCGCGAAAGUGUGGGGAGCAAAC
RNAcentral lists this ribosomal RNA (250 nucleotides) under uncultured prokaryote. RNAcentral describes it as "partial 16S ribosomal RNA". It matches the Rfam family "Bacterial small subunit ribosomal RNA", at positions 524 to 773 of the family's 1533-position model. The record is from RNAcentral.